Molecule: ribosomal RNA, 253 nt
Filed under: uncultured bacterium
Lineage: Bacteria
Description: partial 16S ribosomal RNA
Rfam family: Bacterial small subunit ribosomal RNA
Source: RNAcentral
UACGAAGGGGGCUAGCGUUGUUCGGAAUCACUGGGCGUAAAGCGCACGUAGGCGGAUUGUUAAGUGAGGGGUGAAAUCCCAGGGCUCAACCCUGGAACUGCCUCUCAUACUGGCAAUCUUGAGGUCGAGAGAGGUGAGUGGAAUUCCGAGUGUAGAGGUGAAAUUCGUAGAUAUUCGGAGGAACACCAGUGGCGAAGGCGGCUCACUGGCUCGAUACUGACGCUGAGGUGCGAAAGCGUGGGUAGCAAACAGG